RNAcentral lists this long non-coding RNA (1245 nucleotides) under Solanum tuberosum (potato). Its description in RNAcentral is "long non-coding RNA (STUB_LNC007585)". The record is from RNAcentral. Lineage: Eukaryota; Viridiplantae; Streptophyta; Magnoliopsida; Solanales; Solanaceae.
UUCACUGAUCCAAAAACUUGUAGCUGUGUUCAUGAAAUUGGAGAAAGGAAAAAGAAAUGUGAAGGUAAAACAUGAAAAUGAAUGAUUUUUUCAAAUUUGCACGGUUGAUUUGCUAUGUUGCUCCGACUCUCCAAAAAUAAUGCCACACUCCUGUCGGAUCCUUAAAAAAUGUACUACUUUUAUAUAUUAAGAAGCAGGGAGAUCGACAACUCUCCUCAGUGCACUGAUAUCCUUUGGUGUUCGGAUGGAAAUUAAUCUGGGUUUACUUUGUUCUUUUGCAGGAUACGUUUUGAUAGUUGUCAAUUCUCACCUGCUGAUGGCAUUUUACAUGUCCAGCAAAGUAGGAAUCAGACCUGAAGGUACUGACUAGAGCAGCCAUAUUGAUUUUUCAACACAUACACCCCCGGCCAAAAGGUUUCAUUUUUCCCCUCUUGUUUUUCUUCUCUAACACAAGAUUCAUUUUAUUAAACUAGAGUGCAGUCGAUUUUUGGAAUUAGCAUGUAGGUGUAACAGCGCAGUUUUAUGUAGAUAGAUCUUUGGUCUCUGAGUUGAAUACUUAAGAAAUACAUGGCAAUUGAUUUAGAGUUGAGAGGAUGUUGUAGUAUUUGUAUUGUUCAGUCAUAAUUGCAGAUAAUAAGGUAUCUUCACACAACUUUUUUGGUUCUCUUUUGUGCUAUGUUCUAUUUUUAUUUAUUUAUUUUCGAUAACGAUGCUAUUUGGAUCAACUUGCAUAAUGAUUAACUUAUGAUCACUUUGGGUUACAUUCAAUGUAUUCAUUCAGCAUUAAGAUAUGCCAAAUAUUUGACAUAAUGUUAACAGUGAACCAAGGGCCUUUCAGAAACGUCUCUACCACCUUCACAAGGUAGGGAUAAGGUCAGGGUACACAAGACCCCACUUGUAGGGUUACACGAGUGAGUCAGUGAAAGCCAAAAAGAAAAAAAAAGUGGAGUUCCUGUAACUUUCUUAAAUAGUACCAACAGAAUGGGGUCUCAAAAAGAGAUCCAAAUCAUGCAGCCCAAUCUUGUCUUAUAUUCAAAUGUACAGUACUUGUAGCUCAUAAUGCCAUGAUAGAUGACUAAUAUAUUGUCUCUAAUGAAUGAGAUUUUUGUGAAUUUUAUACUUUUGUAGUUGGAGGCAUGUCAAUUUUCAAUGACAUCCAUCAGUCCUUCAAUUUUAUUUAAUACUGCUGUAUGCAUCAAGAGAGAAGAGUAUUUUAUUAUCUAGAAAAAACCAGGAAGAUGAAGG